UACGAAGGAUGCAAGCGUUAUCCGGAUUCACUGGGUUUAAAGGGUGUGCAGGUGGGGUAAUAAGUCAGUGGUGAAAGCCCCCGACUCAAUCGGGGAACUGCCAUAGAUACUGUUAUUCUUGAGUGUAGUUGAGGCGGAUGGAAUAUGACAUGUAGCGGUGAAAUGCUUAGAUAUGUCAUAGAACACCGAUCGCGAAGGCAGUCCGCCAAACUAUUACUGACACUGAAACACGAAAGUGCGGGGAUCAAACAGGAUUAGAUACCCUGGUAGUCCGCACCGUAAACGAUGAUCACUCGUUGUUGGCGAUACACAGUCAGCGACUAAGCGAAAGCAUUAAGUGAUCCACCUGGGAAGUACGACCGCAAGGUUGAA
This 372-nucleotide ribosomal RNA is filed under the name uncultured bacterium. RNAcentral describes it as "bacterial SSU rRNA". It matches the Rfam family "Bacterial small subunit ribosomal RNA", at positions 524 to 898 of the family's 1533-position model. The record is from RNAcentral.